Felis catus (domestic cat) is the source of this 85-nucleotide transfer RNA. It matches the Rfam family "tRNA". From Rfam's summary of the family: Transfer RNA (tRNA) molecules are approximately 80 nucleotides in length. Their secondary structure includes four short double-helical elements and three loops (D, anti-codon, and T loops). The record is from Rfam. NCBI's taxonomy places the organism in Eukaryota, Metazoa, Chordata, Mammalia, Carnivora, Felidae.
GCCUGGGUGGCUCAGUCAGUUGAGCAUCCGACUUCGGCUCAGGUCACGAUUUCACAGUUUGUGGGUUCGAGCCCCACAUCGGGCU